UGAUUUAUUAUUUUGCCUUCCAAUGUAUGAUCCCAUUUGUUUAUUUUAAUUUACAGGUGUGACAUUUUUAUUACUUAUUAGGCACAUUUAACAGAUGGGAAAAUACAAAUGCAUAGAUAAUUACAGUGUGUUUAAGUUGUGAAUUUUCCACACAAGCUAGAAUUCCCCAAGCACAUUAAAGUGAUUUACUUGCAAGCUGUCUGAUGAUACAACUAAUCAGUUUGUUUUGUCCCUAAUAGUGGGAUUGCCCAAACUCUCAAGAAAGAGGAAGUUUUUUUAUAUGAAAUUGGAGGAAAUAUUGGGGAACGCUGCCUCGACGAUGACACUUACAUGAAGGACUUAUAUCAGCUCAACCCAAAUGCUGAGUGGGUUAUAAAGUCCAAGCCAUCAUAGAAGACUUACAGAAGACUUAUGCUGCAGAUAACCAUAGGACUUCCUUAUUAAUACUUGCUGGGUCAAGAGUGUAAAUAAAAAAAAAAAA
Molecule: long non-coding RNA, 481 nt
Organism: Hipposideros armiger (great roundleaf bat)
Lineage: Eukaryota; Metazoa; Chordata; Mammalia; Chiroptera; Hipposideridae
Exons: 2
Source: RefSeq, a predicted model, not a curated record